AGUGGACGCUGGCGGUAGGCCUAACACAUGCAAGUCGAACGGCAGCACAGUAAGAGCUUGCUCUUACGGGUGGCGAGUGGCGGACGGGUGAGGAAUACAUCGGAAUCUACUUUUUCGUGGGGGAUAACGUAGGGAAACUUACGCUAAUACCGCAUACGACCUACGGGUGAAAGCAGGGGAUCUUCGGACCUUGCGCGAUUGAAUGAGCCGAUGUCGGAUUAGCUAGUUGGCGGGGUAAAGGCCCACCAAGGCGACGAUCCGUAGCUGGUCUGAGAGGAUGGUCAGCCACACUGGAACUGAGACACGGUCCAGACUCCUACGGGAGGCAGCAGUGGGGAAUAUUGGACAAUGGGCGCAAGCCUGAUCCAGCCAUACCGCGUGGGUGAAGAAGGCCUUCGGGUUGUAAAGCCCUUUUGUUGGGAAAGAAAAGCAGCAGGUUAAUACCCCGCUGUUCUGACGGUACCCAAAGAAUAAGCACCGGCUAACUUCGUG
This 492-nucleotide ribosomal RNA is filed under the name uncultured bacterium. RNAcentral describes it as "partial 16S ribosomal RNA". It matches the Rfam family "Bacterial small subunit ribosomal RNA", at positions 29 to 507 of the family's 1533-position model. The record is from RNAcentral.